AAGAGGGUGAAUUGGACAGCUUUACAGAUGCCUCAUGUUAGGAAAUUUUCCUGGAUUUGAGUCUUCAAUGUGGGAGCAGAGUUACCUGAAUAUAUGGAGUUGAUGGAGACAUUCCUUGAUGAGAAGCAGAAAUUCCCCAGGGACCUUGUAAAUCUGAAGCAGAUAAAGGGAAAUGAAGAAACCAAGUUUUACAACUUUGAUGAGUGGCAAAAUUUGUCAAUAAGAGCUAGAUAUUAAGUAAUUAGCUUUUAGGAAGCAAAGUGUAUUGGACUUGGCUAUGAUAUGAAGGAAUUCAUUUAAUAAAUCAAAACGAAAACAAAAACAACAAAAACAAAGAAGCGAAGCAUGAAUCUCCUAAUCAGCAGAAAAGGGAGGACAGCCGGAGACAAUCGUAUUCCUGAUCGAUACUGAUGUAAACUUGUGCUGGAACAAUGGGACCAUCUCGUUGCAGGAAAACAAGCUCAGGGCUCCCACUGAUUCUACAUUAUGGCAACAGAUGACUUUCUGCAAAGGCACUGAUAAUAGCUAUGAGGAAUAAAUAUUGCAGAUGGAUUAAAUCAAAGAAUCAAAUUUCAAAGCCAAAUUAGUCGUGAAAAGGAGGGAGAAGCAGAAAUGAAGAAAAAAGAACCACAGAAGUAAAAUCAGCAGCAUUGAAAAGAAAAUCAUCUGCUGUUUGAAUAAAGACCCAAGAUCUUUCAUUGUUGGAUCCCCAAAGCCAGUGCCUUUUUUGAGCAGCAAGUCCCAAGAUCAAGAAAUCAGAAGGAACUAAUACUUUAACUAAUUAGUAGUAAUGAAAAUUUACUAGACAUCAAUGACAAAUUUACAAGGCAAAUUUAUUUCCAAAGUACAUUCAUAUAUAUCACAGGUAAAAUGAGGUUUUCACAAACACCAUUUUAAACAUAGGGUUUAUUUGCAGGAGCUAUUUUUGUGGCUUAGGGAACAAAUGGUUCAUUGAAACAGAACUUUGCUGGUCUGGUUUCAAAGAAUUCUAUUAUAUAAAAGAUUCUGUAGAACAGAUGGGAUCAAAAGUCCCUGAACACAGAACAGGAAUAUCAGGUAAUGAAAAUGUUCUUUUGGUAUAGUAUUAUGUUUUAUGCUUUGAAAGUAUUAGUAUGCAAGGAACUCAGGCAAGAGCAUAAAAGAGGAAGUAGGAAUAAUACUUUAUGUUUGAAUAGGCUUUAGACUUUCCAAAAUACUUACAUCCUACUGAAGCUUGGUAGCAAGUAUUAUCCUUGUUUUAUUGAUGAAAAACAUGCUUCCAAGAAAGAUGCAUUACAAGCGACAGAAAACUCAAAGUGGAUUACACAGUAAAAGGUAUCUGUCUCUCUGUCUGUCUCUGUCUCUGUGUUUUGGCUCACAGAAUUGAAAAGUUCAGGACUAGAGUGAGCUUUCAAUGUGCCUUGAAAGAGAUGUUCGAUUGAUACCAUCAGGGCCCAGAUUCCCUUGACAUCUCUUAGUUCUGUUUUCCUAGUAUGUGGUUAACUCUGAUUAGCCAGGAUGGAGACAAUAACUCCUGAGCUAAAUAUGUGGAGUGGGGCAAGGAUGGCCCUCUACAGGCGAAGGUGGGGGUGCAUUUUAAUAUGAGUAUGGGGGAAAGGAUCAGAUCUGGGCUAGAUCUGAUAUUCAAGAGGUGUAAACAGAUGACCAACAAGAUGUUAACAAGAUGACACGAUUAGAAAGAUUUUAAUCAAGCCUAGAACCCAGCUCCUCUGAAUCCUGGCAAAACAUAGGUAGGAACAAAACUGGGAAACAAGACAAGGGAUGUCCCAGGAGCUGAUGUUUCAGUAAGAGCAUAGUUGAGAAGAGACAGAAGAAAACAAUAGUUAACAGAGGUAGGUGGAUUUAGAAAGAAGGCUUUACUUUGAACAAGACUUGAUCCCAGUUGAGACUUUGCUGAAGGAAUCCCUAAUAGACAGACCUGAGCCACCUCCUUCCUUUGUCAUAUAUAUGUAUCUCAUAGGCAUCUUACAAAUAUGAUGACUGCUCUAUAAAUAACCGAGAAAUCUUAGUUUCUGGAUCUUACCCUGGCCCAACUCCAAAUUAUCUUCUUUGGUUUUAGCUGGAUCUUUAGGAAGACUGGUCUGCCUAAUUUUGUUGCAUCUCAUUGUGCCCUAUUUGCCAGGCCGCUUUGAUAAGGAGAUCUUCAUAUAAUUCCUUUCUGUGUUGCUGCCCUGUCUUCCAUGUUUAGAGUUCGAAUCCUCCUUUUCUAAUAGCUGAAACACACCCAGAUCAAAAUAAGCUUCAUUAAGGCGGCAUUCUACAAAGACAGUGGUUCUCCAAUGGUGGUCCUCAGAUUACCUGC
Molecule: long non-coding RNA, 2302 nt
Filed under: Homo sapiens (human)
Lineage: Eukaryota; Metazoa; Chordata; Mammalia; Primates; Hominidae
Description: non-protein coding LINC02198:20
Source: RNAcentral